Molecule: non-coding RNA, 250 nt
Organism: Pelobates cultripes (western spadefoot toad)
Lineage: Eukaryota; Metazoa; Chordata; Amphibia; Anura; Pelobatidae
Source: the annotation of a GenBank genome assembly
CCCUGAGCAAUACCGCCGAAAGUUUAGGGAGACCCGGAAAGGGGAGAAGGACUCCCAUGCAGAGUGGGCAUGCCACAUCACAAGGGCCACCCAGAACUGGCUCAACUCCCAUCAAGCCAAGUUCCCAGAGGAGAUCACCCAGCACGUCAUGGGUUCAAUUCCGGAGAGGUAGCCUGAGAAACGGCUACCACAUGCAAGGAAGGCAGCAGGCGCGCAAAUGACCCACUCCCGAUGCGAGAAGGUAGUGACG